GAUGAACGCUGGCGGCGUGCCUAAUACAUGCAAGUCGAGCGAGUGGCGGACGGGUGAGUAAUGUCUGGGAAACUGCCCGAUGGAGGGGGAUAACUACUGGAAACGGUAGCUAAUACCGCAUACCAUCGGAUGUGCCCAGAUGGGAUUAGCUAGUAGGUGGGGUAACGGCUGACCUAGGCGACGAUCCCUAGCUGGUCUGAGAGGAUGACCAGCCAACAUGGAACUGAGACACGGUCCAGACUCCUACGGGAGGCAGCAGUGGGGAAUAUUGCACAAUGGGCGCAAGCCUGAUGCAGCCAUGCCGCGUGUGUGAAGAAGGACUUCGGAUUGUAAAGUACUUUCAGCGAAGAGGCGUUACUCGCAGAAGAAGCACCGGCUAACUCCGUGCCAGCAGCCGCGGUAAUUC
RNAcentral lists this ribosomal RNA (406 nucleotides) under uncultured bacterium. Its description in RNAcentral is "partial 16S ribosomal RNA". It matches the Rfam family "Bacterial small subunit ribosomal RNA", at positions 28 to 526 of the family's 1533-position model. The record is from RNAcentral.